RNAcentral lists this ribosomal RNA (301 nucleotides) under uncultured bacterium. RNAcentral's name for it is "partial 16S ribosomal RNA". It matches the Rfam family "Bacterial small subunit ribosomal RNA", at positions 509 to 807 of the family's 1533-position model. The record is from RNAcentral.
CAGUCGCCACGGGAAUACAGAGGGUGCGAGCGUUAAUCGGAUUUACUGGGCGUAAAGCGUGCGUAGGCGGCUUUUUAAGUCGGAUGUGAAAUCCCUGAGCUUAACUUAGGAAUUGCAUUCGAUACUGCGAAGCUAGAGUAUGGGAGAGGAUGGUAGAAUUCCAGGUGUAGCGGUGAAAUGCGUAGAGAUCUGGAGGAAUACCGAUGGCGAAGGCAGCCAUCUGGCCUAAUACUGACGCUGAGGUACGAAAGCAUGGGGAGCAAACAGGAUUAGAGACCCCAGUAGUCCCUGUCUCUUAUAC